GUGGGGAAUAUUGGGCAAUGGGCGAAAGCCUGACCCAGCAACGCCGCGUGAAGGAAGAAGGUCUUCGGAUUGUAAACUUUUGUCUUAUGGGACGAUAAUGACGGUACCAUAGGAGGAAGCCACGACUAACUACGUGCCAGCAGUCGCGGUAAUACGUAGGUGGCGAGCGUUAUCCGGAAUUAUUGGGUGUAAAGGGUGCGUAGGCGGGUCGUAAAGUCAGAUGUGAAAUGCGGAGGCUCAACCUCCGAACUGCAUUUGAAACUUACGAUCUUGAGUGGAGUAGAGGCAAGCGGAAUUCCCGGUGUAGCGGUGAAAUGCAUAGAUAUCGGGAGGAACACCAGUGGCGAAGGCGGCUUGCUGGGCUUUUACUGACGCUGAGGCACGAAAGUGUGGGGAGCAAACAGGAUUAGAAACCCCAGUAGUCC
RNAcentral lists this ribosomal RNA (425 nucleotides) under uncultured bacterium. RNAcentral's name for it is "bacterial SSU rRNA". It matches the Rfam family "Bacterial small subunit ribosomal RNA", at positions 354 to 796 of the family's 1533-position model. The record is from RNAcentral.